Neofelis nebulosa (Clouded leopard) is the source of this 2500-nucleotide RNA transcript. It is a transcript of the gene named chromosome 2 C2orf88 homolog, with no coding region annotated. NCBI's taxonomy places the organism in Eukaryota, Metazoa, Chordata, Mammalia, Carnivora, Felidae. The record is from RefSeq and is a predicted model, not a curated record. The transcript has 3 exons.
CUGUGUAAGUGAACACCUGGGAGGUGGGCGACCGCUGUGUGUCCGUCGGUCUUGGCUCAUCAGCUUUGCCCUUUGGGUUUUUCAAUGGCAGAAACCUGGAAGUUACAGGCGACUUUAAUUCAAGCAGACCUCCCGCGGCCAGCUGCCUCGGAUAGAGCCUCACGUCUCCGUCUCCUCAUUGAGAAGUUAGCCCCCACCCCUUCCACCUGGUUCUGAGCCCCAAGUCCGAGGUAUUGCAUUUCUGAGCUGCAGUUUCAUUCUCCUUCCUACCUGAAGAGUGACUGAAGAUUUUCAGAUAAACACUACAGGUGAAGAUUGGUAAAAAGAAGCACUGAUUACUGCGGUGGCCUGGAGAGGAAAAGCGCUGACCCUGGUCACCAAUAUCUAAAGAAAGGCAGAAGAAGACCUGAGAAAUAUGUAUUUGGCCUUAAAAGCAGGCAGAAAUGCUACCUCUAGUUUUAACCAUUAUACUUUGAAACCCACAAAUAGAGUGAAUUCUCCCGGUUGCAUGGACAAAGAAAGUUCUUUGAAGUGAGUGAUGUACUAUCUUUCCGUUGCCUUUAGACACUUGGUCAUUCAACUUUCAUUUUAUCUAGUCCCAAGAUCUGAACUGUCCUGUUGUACUUGCAAUCUAGAAACAAAGUAGAAAAAACUCACCAUCCCCAUUUAUACAAGGAUCUGAAGUCAUAAGACUAAGGGACAAAAAGUUUUCUGAAAGUGCAAAACAUAUUUCCAGCUCAUGAAGAAAAAUUUAGGUUUUUGAGUAUACUAAUGACUCAGACAAAAGCAUAGAUGUUGCUGUUUUUCAUUCAUUUUGUAUCUCACAUCAGGAUAUUUUUGCUGCAAAGUCACUCACUGUUUAAAAGGUGUAAUUAAGUAUGUAAGGUAAUACAAUAUUAUGGUGAGAACACAAAGCCAUAGCUACACUAAAUUUUUCAGCAUACAUAGGGAUGUAGACUGGCGAGUUUUAUUACAGCUAAGUAUUUUAACCUCAGGUUUCUCCUGUGCCUGGGCCCCUAUUUCCCAGGGGGGUAGCAGGCACGCCUGUUCAGAUCCAUAUCUAGCUAGAAGUAUAAUCUCUGUUGCCCUGACACUAUGGCAGUAUGGUUUUGUCACCAAGCACCAACCCCUCACUCCUGAAUCAUUUUAACAGAGUAUAUUGUCUUGUAGUAUAGACUUAUCUUGGAAAUAUAUGCUGUAUUAUGUCAAAACAUGGACAAGGAACUACAAGGCUUGCGUAAUCAGUGAGUUAGCAGAUAAACCAAGUUGGAGGCAGGCAGGAAAAAGAACUGGAUAAGCAAAUGUGUACCACGUGUGAUCAUCAUCAAGAUAUAGUUUGGCCUUGAUGACGAGACAGAUGAGAACAUCUUUGAUAGGAUUCCUUCUAUCAUACCUUCAUAUUUAAAUACUGGAUUUACUUCACUUUGAACUUUCAUGAACAGUAAAAGGUCUAUUUGAGAAGGAAGGAACAUAUAAAACAGACGACUGGAAGAAUUAUUAGCUACUGGAAAGGGAGACAUUUGUUCCAACUUCUAUCACAAACACAGAUGAAAUAAGAAUAGUGGUCAAAUCAUAAGGGAAAGGAAACUGGGGGGAAAGAGGGCCCAAGAAACAGCACUCACAUCAGGCUCCAUCAGAAGACACACUGCAAAACAAGUCUCCAAUGUUCUUGACUGAGGGAAGGGACACAGUAGCAAGUUCCUUUCUUUACCACCCUGACAGGUGACCAACUACUGACUCUUUUCUCUCGAGAACAUCCAGGAUAGGCGCAGAUGAGCCGCAGCCAGUGCGACAAAGAACCUGCUGAUGGCAACUGUAAACGAAGAUUCUCACAGGAAGCGUGCAGGUUCCUCACUUACACAGACUCACGUAACCCCGCAAAAGUGCUUCCCUGCUCCCUUCUCCAGUUAAAGGUCUCCUGUGUGCUCUUACCUUUCAGUUACAAGUCUUUGAUCCCAGAGUGCUCCAUUUUCAGUUGCCUUAUCUGUCCUUUGCUAACCACCUAUGGUCAUUAGCACUCAAAGCACAAUUUGGAAGGGGAUAAAAAUGAUCCUAGUUCCAAAGGAAUAAUUUGUGUCAAAUUGCCUUAUUAGUAUUAAAAAUAGACAUACUGCUGAAUGAAUGAGCUAGCAUGACACAUGUAUCCUACUUAAUAUCAUUGCCAUUUUAUGAGAUGAGGGAACUAUACUUUUUUAUUGUAUAGUUUUAGGAAUCAAGUAAAUUCAAGGAAUAGUAGUUAAAAAACAAAGUUCCAACAAAUCUAUUGUUUGCUUAAUCAUAAGGCCCUCACUAUGUAUCUGUGUGGCCAAAUAGAACAUAUCUUCCUUGGGCAAGUGGGCACAAGCUCAGAUGUACUCCCUAUCUCUUACUUUGCAAAACUCACAUUUUGUUAGCUAAUUCUCUUCCUGUAAGACUUAGCUAUGAAAUGGUAUAUUUUUUCCAAAUAUUUUUGAGAAAACAUUUUUUUCUAACUGUACAAUAAAAGUCUAGUUGCAAUUAA